AGGUCCCACCAUCGGAAGCGUGCUAAAGACAACCAACCCCCGCGAAGUAGUAUCUAACGGUGGUCCCGCGGGGAAGAGUGAUAGAAGAAGUGUGUGGGGGUAGUUUUUAGUACGUAAGCGCCAUGGAUGGCAAAUCGUGCAUGCUAGUACUAAGAACCAGCAGUAUCUUUUGAAGAUUUGUAACUUCCGCGAAC
This is a non-coding RNA of Glossina pallidipes, 194 nucleotides long. The record is from Rfam. Lineage: Eukaryota; Metazoa; Arthropoda; Insecta; Diptera; Glossinidae.